AGUGGCGAACGGGUGAGUAACACGUGGGCAACCUGCCCCUUAGUUGAGGAUAACUAUUGGAAACGAUAGCUAAUACUGAAUACGAUGUACAAACGCAUGUGAGUACAUUGAAAGAAGCGUUUGCUUCGCUAAGGGAUGGGCCUGCGGUGCAUUAGCUAGUUGGUGCGGUAACGGCGUACCAAGGCGACGAUGCAUAUCCGGGCUGAGAGGCUGAACGGACACAUUGGGACUGAGACACGGCCCAAACUUCUACGGAAGGCUGCAGUAGGGAAUUUUUCGCAAUGGGCGCAAGCCUGACGAAGCAAUGCCGCGUGAGGGAUGAAGGUUUUCGGAUUGUAAACCUCUGUUAUAAGGGAAGAAAACCUAGUAUAGGAAAUGAUACUAGCUUGACGGUACCUUAUCAGAAAGGGACGGCUAACUACGUGCCAGCAGCCGCGGUAAUACGUAGGUCCCGAGCGUUAUCCGGAAUUAUUGGGCGUAAAGAGCAUGUAGGCGGUCUAUUAAGUCUGGUGUGAAAUCUAGUGGCUCAACCACUAAAUUGCAUUGGAAACUGAUGGA
This 558-nucleotide ribosomal RNA is filed under the name uncultured bacterium. RNAcentral's name for it is "bacterial SSU rRNA". It matches the Rfam family "Bacterial small subunit ribosomal RNA", at positions 94 to 640 of the family's 1533-position model. The record is from RNAcentral.